Molecule: ribosomal RNA, 145 nt
Filed under: Klebsiella pneumoniae subsp. pneumoniae ST258-K26BO
Lineage: Bacteria; Pseudomonadati; Pseudomonadota; Gammaproteobacteria; Enterobacterales; Enterobacteriaceae
Description: Large Subunit Ribosomal RNA; lsuRNA; LSU rRNA
Rfam family: Bacterial large subunit ribosomal RNA
Source: RNAcentral
AACUUGCCCCGAGAUGAGUUCUCCCUGAGACUAUAAGUCUCCUGAAGGAACGUUNNGNNGAAGACGACGACGUUGAUAGGCCGGGUGUGUAAGCGCAGCGAUGCGUUGAGCUAACCGGUACUAAUGAACCGUGAGGCUUAACCUU